UGAGCAAUCUGCCCUUCUCUUCGGAAUAAGCGUGGGAAACCGCGUCUAAUGCCGAAUACGACCUCCUUUCGCAUGAUCGGAGGUGGAAAGCUCCGGCGGAGAAGGAUGAGCUCGCGGCCUAUCAGCUAGUUGGUGUGGGUAAUGGCCCACCAAGGCGACGACGGGUAGCCGGCCUGAGGAGGGUGACCGGCCACACGUGGGACUGAGACACGGCCCAGACCUCCGUACGGGAGGCAG
Molecule: ribosomal RNA, 237 nt
Filed under: uncultured bacterium
Lineage: Bacteria
Description: partial 16S ribosomal RNA
Rfam family: Bacterial small subunit ribosomal RNA
Source: RNAcentral